RNAcentral lists this transfer RNA (77 nucleotides) under Bacillota bacterium. RNAcentral describes it as "tRNA-Trp". It matches the Rfam family "tRNA". From Rfam's summary of the family: Transfer RNA (tRNA) molecules are approximately 80 nucleotides in length. The record is from RNAcentral. Lineage: Bacteria; Bacillati; Bacillota.
AGGCCCGUAGCUCCAACGGUAGAGCGGCGGACUCCAAAUCCGCGUCAGUGGGGGUUCGAAUCCCUCCGGGCCUGCCA